CGGCAGGCCCCAAGGAAGCCAGGAAGAAAAAGGCAGGCAGAGCUCUCUGCAGCAACAGACCCUCUGCCCAGAACAUCCAGCACAACUUUGGCCAGUGGGAAACAGUGCAGCAAAAUCAGGAAGCAGAGCUCCAGCUGCAUGCAAAGUUAUCUUCUGGACACAGUGGGCCAGCAACUAUUUUGCAAAUACUCCCAGUUUGAAGCCAUGGAUUUUGUUUUGAAUGAAUAUUCCUCCAUAAUUUACUCAGCUUGAAUGAUUAGCAA
Hemicordylus capensis (graceful crag lizard) is the source of this 263-nucleotide long non-coding RNA. RefSeq lists it as uncharacterized. The record is from RefSeq and is a predicted model, not a curated record. The transcript has 3 exons. NCBI's taxonomy places the organism in Eukaryota, Metazoa, Chordata, Lepidosauria, Squamata, Cordylidae.